RNAcentral lists this ribosomal RNA (492 nucleotides) under uncultured bacterium. RNAcentral describes it as "partial 16S ribosomal RNA". It matches the Rfam family "Bacterial small subunit ribosomal RNA", at positions 29 to 507 of the family's 1533-position model. The record is from RNAcentral.
AGUGAACGCUGGCGGUAGGCCUAACACAUGCAAGUCGAACGGCAGCACAGUAAGAGCUUGCUCUUACGGGUGGCGAGUGGCGGACGGGUGAGGAAUACAUCGGAAUCUACUUUUUCGUGGGGGAUAACGUAGGGAAACUUACGCUAAUACCGCAUGCGACCUACGGGUGAAAGCAGGGGAUCUUCGGACCUUGCGCGAUUGAAUGAGCCGAUGUCGGAUUAGCUAGUUGGCGGGGUAAAGGCCCACCAAGGCGACGAUCCGUAGCUGGUCUGAGAGGAUGAUCAGCCACACUGGAACUGAGACACGGUCCAGACUCCUACGGGAGGCAGCAGUGGGGAAUAUUGGACAAUGGGCGCAAGCCUGAUCCAGCCAUACCGCGUGGGUGAAGAAGGCCUUCGGGUUGUAAAGCCCUUUUGUUGGGAAAGAAAAGCAGCAGGUUAAUACCCCGCUGUUCUGACGGUACCCAAAGAACAAGCACCGGCUAACUUCGUG